AGCUGCGCGGUGAGCACAUAGCGAACUAUUCUUUCGCCUUUUACUAAAGAAUACCGUGUGCCCGCCGCUGAAAGCAGCAUACGCUAAUUUUUGGAGGGUCCUCUCUUCAGAGAGCU
Molecule: small nuclear RNA, 116 nt
Filed under: Vitis vinifera (wine grape)
Lineage: Eukaryota; Viridiplantae; Streptophyta; Magnoliopsida; Vitales; Vitaceae
Description: U5 spliceosomal RNA
Rfam family: U5 spliceosomal RNA
About the family: U5 RNA is a component of both types of known spliceosome. The precise function of this molecule is unknown, though it is known that the 5' loop is required for splice site selection and p220 binding, and that both the 3' stem-loop and the Sm site are important for Sm protein binding and cap methylation.
Source: Rfam by way of RNAcentral